AAUUCAGUUCGAUACAUCGCACUCUUACAAAGAAUAUCUCUCUUUUUUUACGAGAAAUAGAGACCUUAUAAACACCACACCCAAGGACCUAUCUCUUGAGGGACCUCCAAAGACUGUAACAAAACCAAACUGAAAGGCCUAUCUCUUGGGCGACCUCCACUGACCUUUUCAAAGAGUGGAAGUAUGGCUGACACGGCAAUGCUCCCUCCCUUGGUUACGACACAAAGAGCUUCCAGACCAGCAGCACUCGACAGGGAGCUUAUAAGGGACUCAGGGACAGCAAAGUAGGACUGCUCAAAUCUAAUGGUGGAUAUAUUCAUUAUUCAUAGACGUAGAAGGCCUCAAAAGAUUAGGGGGGGCUCAAUAGAGAAAUAAUACGAAACGAUGAUGGGGGGGGGGGCACAGCCGCAUCCCUACUGGUCAUUUCCUAAUGAUUUUUUUUAAAUAUUGGGGGUGCCCCCCUGCUAUUAUACCCUGAUAUUAUACAUCAAUACACAGUGUAUUAUGUGCUCCUAUUUGCUGAGAGGUAUCCAUGAUACCAUCCUGUGAUAAAGGUGAAGGAAAGCGAAGUAGAGUUUUACUUUAACAACACAAUAUCAUAUGCUCUGACUGAUAAAAAGGUUAUUAGAGGACAUAAGGAAUUCUAAUAACAAGAAAUGACCGCUUUUUGGCAGUACAACAUAAAAUGUAAAUAUAUGCAAAAAGUUAGUACGGCCACUCACCUGAACUGUGUUAGACUCCAGCAGUAAGACAAAGCCUUUGUGAGGGUCGGUAGGCAGGACAUUUCAAGACCUUGCAGUUGGGCUAAGGACAGGAAACUAAGCUGAGAACAGGAACAAGCAAUCUUGACAAGAAACUCCAGACCUUUGCGUACAUCCAUUCCUUAAAAGAGGUGAAGCAAAAGUAAGAGAGAUGCCAGAUAUGCAAUACUGUAUGUGCAAUUCUGGAUUAAAUGUUGUACCUACAGUGCUGUAGCGUCUACAACAGUGGUAAAUCUAUUAAAAGGCUGAUUUAGACAGCAUGAUUUAGUCAUAUGCGACUUGCCUGCAAUGCCUCUACAACUCAAGUUGUAGAGUGAAAUUAGACACAACAACUCUGUUCGGUUGUGAAAUUCACAGGGUGUGAUUCGAGCCUCAGACAUGUUGUUGGCAGGUCGCAUACAACUAAAUCUUGUUGUCUAAAUCAGCUUUUAGAAGAUCACUCUCUGGACCAAGAUAAAGUGUGCUUAAUUGAAGUUGGACAGGUGAUAGGUGGACUUUUGGUAGAGCUACCACCGUAUUCAGGCACAUACGGGGUGCGAACACACUACCCCCCCCCCCCCCACAACAGCCGAAAGACAAAGCUAUAAACCAUAAGCUAGAUCACUCUGGUAUGUCAUUAAUCCAUUAGUCAUACUUUAUUUGUAGCCAGAUCCGACAAUAACCGUCCCAUGGGGAUACUGCAAAGGAAUUAAAAAUCCCUUCUUUUGGGGGUGGUCAGAUUUUUUGUCAGAAAACUCAUUCCCUCCCCCCACCCCCCUCCCCCAGAAAAAUUUGGUCCAAUUUUUCAGCUUUAUGACGACGUACGGUGACGUCACCUAAUCAUUCGAAACAAGAAAAAAAAAUGCAAAAGGCAAAGUAAGAAAAACAUAUUAUUUGUGGAUUUACGCCGAUGUAAAUGUUUUAUAAGGUGCCAUGAAUAAAAUCUAUCUAUCU
Nematostella vectensis (starlet sea anemone) is the source of this 1694-nucleotide long non-coding RNA. RefSeq lists it as uncharacterized. The record is from RefSeq and is a predicted model, not a curated record. The transcript has 2 exons. Lineage: Eukaryota; Metazoa; Cnidaria; Anthozoa; Actiniaria; Edwardsiidae.